AGCGUCACAAUUUCCGUGAAAACCAGAGGGGAGAAUGGAAGAAUGUUAGCGAUGUAGUACCCGAACCAGAGUUGAUGAUAUAGUGUUGAAUGAAUUUCUACAUCCAUUUGGUAACCACAGUGAGAGGGAUGGGUUGUGCUAUCAUCAUAUGAAGAACCAUACCAGGAAGUGCAGAUUUCUUCCUCAUGGCCACAUGAAAGUUGACUGUUAAAACUAGUUUCUGGAUAAUAACUCAAGUACUUUGCAUUCUAUUCAAACCAAAUUUGGACAUAUGGAUACAUACAAAGAAAAA
This is a long non-coding RNA of Ostrea edulis (European flat oyster), 292 nucleotides long. RefSeq lists it as uncharacterized. The record is from RefSeq and is a predicted model, not a curated record. Lineage: Eukaryota; Metazoa; Mollusca; Bivalvia; Ostreida; Ostreidae. The transcript is spliced from 2 exons.